RNAcentral lists this ribosomal RNA (460 nucleotides) under uncultured bacterium. RNAcentral's name for it is "partial 16S ribosomal RNA". It matches the Rfam family "Bacterial small subunit ribosomal RNA", at positions 338 to 795 of the family's 1533-position model. The record is from RNAcentral.
CCUACGGGUGGCAGCAGUGAGGAAUAUUGGUCAAUGGACGAGAGUCUGAACCAGCCAAGUAGCGUGAAGGAUGACUGCCCUAUGGGUUGUAAACUUCUUUUAUAUGGGAAUAAAAUGUUCCACGUGUGGGAUUUUGUAUGUACCAUAUGAAUAAGGAUCGGCUAACUCCGUGCCAGCAGCCGCGGUAAUACGGAGGAUCCGAGCGUUAUCCGGAUUUAUUGGGUUUAAGGGGAGCGUAGGUGGGUUGUUAAGUCAGUUGUGAAAGUUUGCGGCUCAACCGUAAAAUUGCAGUUGAAACUGGCAGUCGUGAGUACAGUAGAGGUGGGCGGAAUUCGUGGUGUAGCGGUGAAAUGCUUAGAUAUCACGAAGAACUCCGAUGGCGAAGGCAGCUCACUGGACUGCAACUGACACUGAGGCUCGAAAGUGUGGGUAUCAAACAGGAUUAGAUACCCCAGUAGUC